GCCAUCGGCCUCCUUAAAAACCGGUGGCGGUGUCUUGAUGCGUCGGGGGGGAGACUUCUCUACCAGCCCAAUAAGGUGUGCAGGAUCAUCAUGUCGUGUGGUGUCCUGCACAACGUGGCACUGAGGAAUGGUGUUCCCCUCCCACCUGGCCUCCCUCCCAUUCACCAUGAGGAUCCUGACGCACAGCCCCCUCCCCGGCAUGAAGACCACCAACGGGGAGCCAGGCUACGUCAGCAAGUCAUGCAGCGUUUGUGAAAGGAAUACACGUCGAUGGUGUCCCUUUGUGUUUGGAGGACCGCAUCUGUCAGCACGCGGCCACCUCCAGCUGUGCCGUGCGCCCGGGGCGCACUCGUGGUGGGUCUGACCAUCUCCUCUGUGGAUGUACCGGGGAUCUCCUCACCCACUGCCUCCAUCUGUAGAGUGACUGGAGAUAAAUAAAAAAUGUUAUUCGCUGCUUUUUACAUGGCUGUUAAAUUAAAUAAACAAUAAUUUACCGGUC
Long non-coding RNA from Melanotaenia boesemani (Boeseman's rainbowfish), 499 nucleotides. RefSeq lists it as uncharacterized. The record is from RefSeq and is a predicted model, not a curated record. NCBI's taxonomy places the organism in Eukaryota, Metazoa, Chordata, Actinopteri, Atheriniformes, Melanotaeniidae. The transcript is spliced from 2 exons.